RNAcentral lists this ribosomal RNA (404 nucleotides) under uncultured bacterium. RNAcentral describes it as "partial 16S ribosomal RNA". It matches the Rfam family "Bacterial small subunit ribosomal RNA", at positions 28 to 526 of the family's 1533-position model. The record is from RNAcentral.
GACGAACGCUGGCGGCGUGCCUAAUACAUGCAAGUCGAACGCAGUGGGGACGGGUGAGUAACACGUCGGUAACCUGCCCAUAAGAGGGGAUAACAUUUGGAAACAGGUGCUAAACCGAUACUGAUGGAUGGACGCUCGGUGCAUUAGCUAGUUGGUGAGGUAACGGCUAACCAAGGCAACGAUUCAUAGCCGGUCGGAGAGGGGGAUCGGCCACACUGGGACUGAGACACGGCCCAGACUCCGACGGGAGGCAGCAGUAGGGAAUAUUCGGCAAUGGACGAAAGUCUGACCGAGCAACGCCGCGUGAGUGAAGAAGGUUUUCGGAUCGGAAAACUCUUUUGUUAGAGAAGCGUUAUCUAAACAGAAAGCCACGGCUAACUACGUGCCAGCAGCCGCGGUAAUUC